UACGGGAGGCAGCAGUGGGGAAUAUUGCACAAUGGGCGAAAGCCUGAUGCAGCUAUGCCGCGUGUAUGAAGAAGGCCUUAGGGUUGUAAAGUACUUUCAUCGGGGAGGAAAAACAAAACUAAUAAUUUUAUUUCUUGACGUUACCCGAAAAAGAAGCACCGGCUAACUCCGUGCCAGCAGCCGCGGUAAUACGGAGGGUGCUAGCGUUAAUCAGAAUUACUGGGCGUAAAGAGCACGUAGGUGGUUUUUUAAGUUCAGAUGUGAAAUCCCUGGGCUUAACCUAGGAACUGCAUUUUGAAACUGAAAUACUAGAGUAUCGUAGAGGGAGGUAGAAUUCUAGGUGUAGCGGUGAAAUGCGUAGAUAUCUGGAGGAAUACCUGUGGCGAAAGCGGCCUCCUAAACGAAUACUGACACUGAGGUGCGAAAGCGUGGGGAGCAAACAGGGAUUAGAUACC
This 455-nucleotide ribosomal RNA is filed under the name uncultured bacterium. Its description in RNAcentral is "bacterial SSU rRNA". It matches the Rfam family "Bacterial small subunit ribosomal RNA", at positions 340 to 786 of the family's 1533-position model. The record is from RNAcentral.